Molecule: transfer RNA, 83 nt
Filed under: Clostridium sp. AF34-10BH
Lineage: Bacteria; Bacillati; Bacillota; Clostridia; Eubacteriales; Clostridiaceae
Description: tRNA-His
Rfam family: tRNA
About the family: Transfer RNA (tRNA) molecules are approximately 80 nucleotides in length. Their secondary structure includes four short double-helical elements and three loops (D, anti-codon, and T loops).
Source: RNAcentral
GAGGCUGUGGCCGAGUUGGUUAGGCAGCAGAUUGUGGCUCUACGGAAGCAAUUCCUACGUGGGUUCGAGUCCCACUGGUCUCC